GCCAGUCUGCAUGGAGCCGACCUUGAAAUACCACCCUUUAAUGUUUGAUGUUCUAACGUUGACCCGUAAUCCGGGUUGCGGACAGUGUCUGGUGGGUAGUUUGACUGGGGCGGUCUCCUCCUAAAGAGUAACGGAGGAGCACGAAGGUUGGCUAAUCCUGGUCGGACAUCAGGAGGUUAGUGCAAUGGCAUAAGCCAGCUUGACUGCGAGCGUGACGGCGCGAGCAGGUGCGAAAGCAGGUCAUAGUGAUCCGGUGGUUCUGAAUGGAAGGGCCAUCGCUCAACGGAUAAAAGGUACUCCGGGGAUAACAGGCUGAUACCGCCCAAGAGUUCAUAUCGACGGCGGUGUUUGGCACCUCGAUGUCGGCUCAUCACAUCCUGGGGCUGAAGUAGGUCCCAAGGGUAUGGCUGUUCGCCAUUUAAAGUGGUACGCGAGCUGGGUUUAGAACGUCGUGAGACAGUUCGGUCCCUAUCUGCCGUGGGCGCUGGAGAACUGAGGGGGGCUGCUCCUAGUACGAGAGGACCGGAGUGGACGCAUCACUGGUGUUCGGGUUGUCAUGCCAAUGGCACUGCCCGGUAGCUAAAUGCGGAAGAGAUAAGUGCUGAAAGCAUCUAAGCACGAAACUUGCC
Molecule: ribosomal RNA, 629 nt
Filed under: Escherichia coli
Lineage: Bacteria; Pseudomonadati; Pseudomonadota; Gammaproteobacteria; Enterobacterales; Enterobacteriaceae
Description: partial 23S ribosomal RNA
Rfam family: Bacterial large subunit ribosomal RNA
Source: RNAcentral